Molecule: long non-coding RNA, 813 nt
Filed under: Mustela putorius furo (domestic ferret)
Lineage: Eukaryota; Metazoa; Chordata; Mammalia; Carnivora; Mustelidae
Description: lncRNA (ENSMPUG00000024480.1)
Source: RNAcentral
GUUUUAUUAUCGCCAUUUUACUCACGAAGAAACUGAGCACCAGAGAGGGUAAGCCAGUUGCCCAAGGUCACCCAGCAAUGUGUAGGCCAAGUCACAUGUUCUCAUUUUUGAUGAAUGAGGAGGCACAUUCACUGGGUAUUGUGCCACCCAUCCAUUCUUGGGAGAGGACUUGAUGGGAGUCCUUCCUUCUUGGGUCUUGUCUGCAUUUUGAACACUGAGGAUGCUGGAUAAGUCAGAUCUCCCUUCUCAUUUUUCACAUAGGGUCGGGAAGUUCAUGAAAAGAGCUAAAAUCAGUUUGUUAUUUUUGGUUACUUUUGUCUAGGAUUGCCCAAGCCACCAAUCCUUUCUGAUGACCCAGGUAGUUGGAAAUUGGGGAUGGACUAUCACGUUUCAUUUUUUUUUUUUUUAAGGGUGUGGAUGUCUACAGCCAGGUUGGCAGAGACGAAGGUGACCUUCCUGAGGUCUUACAGAAUCUCAAGCACAAUGUCUUGUCCUUUGGAGGCGCAAUCGGAGCUUCUUUGGAAGCGUGCACGCACCUGGGAUGUGCUGGACACUGUCCAACAUUGCUGGGGCUCCAGGAAUAAACAGAGAACUCUGCGUCACGGACCUUAGUCUCAAUUGGCACAUAGCCAUGGGCAACACCACUGUCUUAGUCUGCUUGGGCUACCUUAACAAGUACCAUGAAUGGCCAGCUUGCACAACAGACACCAUCUCACCGUUCUGGAGGCUGGAAGUCUAGUGUUAAGAGGCAAGCAAGGUUGGUUUCUGGUUAAGGCUCUCUUCUCGGCUUGUAGAUGAUCACAGUCUUGCAGG